AUUGAACGCUGGCGGAAUGCUUUACACAUGCAAGUCGAACGGUAGAGGGGGCAACCCCUCGAGAGUGGCGAACGGGUGAGUAAUAUAUCGGAACGUGCCCAGUCGUGGGGGAUAACGUAGCGAAAGUUACGCUAAUACCGCCUACGGUCUAAGGAUGAAAGCGGGGGAUCGCAAGACCUCGCGUGAUUGGAGCGGCCGAUAUCAGAUUAGGUAGUUGGUGGGGUAAAGGCUCACCAAGCCAACGAUCUGUAGCUGGUCUGAGAGGACGACCAGCCACACUGGAACUGAGACACGGUCCAGACUCCUACGGGAGGCAGCAGUGGGGAAUUUUGGACAAUGGACGCAAGUCUGAUCCAGCCAUUCCGCGUGCAGGAUGAAGGCCCUCGGGUUGUAACUGCUUUUGUACGGAACGAAAAGGUCUCUCUUAAUACGGGGGGCUCAUGACGGUACCGUAAGAAUAAGCACCGGCUAACUACGUGCCAGCAGCCGCGGUAA
This 495-nucleotide ribosomal RNA is filed under the name uncultured bacterium. RNAcentral describes it as "partial 16S ribosomal RNA". It matches the Rfam family "Bacterial small subunit ribosomal RNA", at positions 30 to 523 of the family's 1533-position model. The record is from RNAcentral.